This 334-nucleotide ribosomal RNA is filed under the name uncultured Paludibacter sp. RNAcentral's name for it is "partial 16S ribosomal RNA". The record is from RNAcentral. Lineage: Bacteria; Pseudomonadati; Bacteroidota; Bacteroidia; Bacteroidales; Paludibacteraceae.
GGAGUUUGGACCGUGUCUCAGUUCCAAUGUGGGGGACCUUCCUCUCAGAACCCCUACUGAUCGUCGACUUGGUGAGCCGUUACCCCACCAACUAUCUAAUCAGAAGCGUGCUCACCCAUAGUCCUUACGUUUCAAGCGUGUGUCAUGCGGCACUCGCUCACAUGGAGCAUUAAUCCAACUUUCGCUGGGCUAUUCCCCGACUAUGGACAGAUUGCACACCUGUUACGCACCCGUGCGCCGGUCGCCGCCAGGGUAUUGCUACCCCGCGCUGCCCCUCGACUUGCAUGUGUUAAGCCUGCCGCUAGCGUUCAUCCUGAGCCAUGAUCAAACUACU